Long non-coding RNA from Dunckerocampus dactyliophorus (ringed pipefish), 3197 nucleotides. RefSeq lists it as uncharacterized. Lineage: Eukaryota; Metazoa; Chordata; Actinopteri; Syngnathiformes; Syngnathidae. The record is from RefSeq and is a predicted model, not a curated record. The transcript is spliced from 5 exons.
UUAGCCUCUGCACCCCUCCUUGAAAGUCCCUGUGGUGAAGUCCCUGCAUCCUUCCUCUAAGAUCACCGGUCCUGUUCUCCUGGCGAGGCAUGGUUGCCAUGGCGGCGCCCGCCUGCAGGGAGCGAGCCCCCGGAGGGGUGAGGUUGUACUGGUUCAGUUCCAUGUUGGAAAGCAGGUGGCCCAAAGAGUCCCAGCGCUGAGAUGAAGGCAGGCGAAUCAGGGAGGAGUAACCCCGCUCAGAGAACACUGAUGACGACGGUGGUGGAGGCUUGCUGGUCUCUGAUGGGAACGCCGGACUGGGGUCCUGGUGUUCCCUGGGAGGCAGCGGCGCGGCUCGAAGCGGGGCAGGUUUCAGGUAGGUGCCCCCUCGGGGUUCUGACAGGACGUCAGUGUAUGGAGGCGGAGGGUCUUCCAUUAGGACUGCCUCCUCGUAGCAUGGUGGCUUUCCAAAUAGAUCUGCUUCUGGAACACAGAGAAUGACAAUGAGGAUACAAUAUUAUGUGCUCUCUGAAUGUUCUCAACUCCUAUUUCCAUGCUAGUGUGGUAUUGGGCAGAAUAAUGUUGACAAUUGUUACAAAAUGGCUGUGACAUGUUCGCAAGGCCACUGUUUGUUACUAGGCAGCUUUCUGUGGCGCCUAUCCCAACAAGUAAAAAUUAUGAGUUCACCUUUCGCGGAUUCGCUGUUUCGCAUAUUUUAUUAAGUGCAUUUUUUUAACAGCAUAUGAACGCGUAUUGAGCCAUCUAUCGGUGCUCUGUUGUAUGCGUCUGUUACUGCUGCUACCAGUAGAGGGUGUUGCGGCUCCACCUAGUCUCAGUAUGUGUUUAUUAAGAACCCACAGUAUACAAUGGCCGGCCAAUUAUAGCGCCACAACAGUCCUUAUUGGCUCAGGGAGAACUGGUACGUUGUGUUCUGUGUCCUGAUUGGCUGUAGACCAUUGUCACUCAAUCUCCUUCGUGCCGUUUCCUGUUGUGGUCAAUAGCCGCUAGCUAACUGAACUGCUAACUGCCAAUAAACAAUAUAAGAAGCUAACAGGCUGAAUGAAUCUUUGGUUCAAGGAGGAGGAUGACGGCAGGAGCAAUAUAUUUUAACAAGAAUACAGAAACGCUACAACCGAACGGCGCCAGGACGAGCCACGGUGCAUUGAUUUCACACAGCCCAUAGGAGCUAACAGCGACGACACUUACAAUGUCCGCUCUCAUUCAGAUGGCUGUGUCUUCCAGCGCAUGACUUGUGCUCCAGUCCUCAGUGGCUUGAGGCGUCGUGAGUGACGCUGAGACGAGCAAGGGGUUGUGUUCCUCCGCCAGAUGCCUCCAGACUUUGAGGUUGCCAUAGUAACACAGGAGAAGAUGAAAGAGGGGGAAUGCUGACACAAACGCAGCCCAAGCCAUUGUGGAGAGUCGUCGAUCUGCAUUGUUUAUAAAACAAGAUACCGUCACAAACACCAACAAAAGGCACCUUUUGGAUGAGAAAAUGGUCGUUUAACAUGGACUCCAUUGGGAAAGUUGCUCUGUGAAAAUGCUUUUGUACGAAUGAAGGGUCUUAUGAUUAAAACGGUCAUUUCCUUCACCAUCCCUUCCUUGCCUGAAAACGUGGUCAUUAUUAAGGCACUCUGGAACAUUUUCUUGGUCACAACGUACCGUAUUAUGUCGGUUUCAAGUGUGGAUUCAAAGCUGAAAACGUUCUCUACUUUCAGUUGCAAAUGAAUGGAGCUCUAAUAGGGAGCCCUGCAGCACUCCGCUGGUGAUGAUUAUCUUACAUCUACCAAUAAAAAUGUUGCAUUCAAUUUCACAUCACUGGUUUGCAAGUGUUGGCUUGACACCCAUUAAGUGUAACCAAAAAAAAAAUCUUUUGUUUCAUUUUAUGAAAAAAAAGGACAAAAGUAUUCAUUACUGGAUGAUAUGCAACAUUUCAGUGUGGCUUUGGUGUCUUGUUCCUCCAAAUAUCAGUCUAUUUUGUCCGAUAAAAAAACACAGAAAACAUACAGUAAGAGCAAUUACUUUACAGUGAAUUGUACAUUGCAGUCUGCUCACAUUCCCAGCUCAUCAUAUGAAUAUGUUCAAAUCAAGGCCGUUGUCAUCGAGGAAGCCACUUUCCUUUCUGUAGACAUGCCCCAUAUGAGUCCAGGGUUCGAAUACUUAGCGGAGCCUUUCUUUUGUGUGGGGACUUUCUGGAGCAUCGACUGUCAAACAUCUUAUAGCUUAUACACGUGUUUUCACUUUUCAAUGUUAUCAUUGAAUGACAAAGACGUUAAUGUCCUCCUGAGAAAGAUGACAGUGACACACUACCUGCAGAUAUGUUCAACACACUGACCCCCUCUAGUGGCUGCACUACAUAUGACCAGACAGCAACACACGCACGCUCGCAUAGUGCUGUACAAAUAUUGUCCACACUGAAGAAAACAAACAAAAAAAGUCUUAUUUCCAGAAGAAAAUUAAAGCAUUACUAAAAUAUUACAAGAAAACGGUGAUGUUAUAAGAAAAAAAGGGUCAUUUAAAGAUAAUGAAGUUGUAAUAUAACAAUAAAAAGGGCUUCAUAUUCAUGAAUAAAGUGUAAAUGUGAGUAAAAAGUUGCAAUAUUAUGACAAUAAUGUUGGAUUACGAGAAAAAAAAAUGCAAUUGCAUUUUAUGCUAAAAAAGUCCAGAGGGAAAAAAAAAAUUGUUUCACUUCUGAAGUACAUCUUUUCCCCCUUCAUAAAAAUACAACUUUAUCUCAUAAUAUUUAGAGUGGACUUUUGGAUCAUUGCAACAAAAUACAAGUAAUAAUAUAACAAGCUUAUUUUGUUUCCUCUGAAAAAUCCUACCUACUGGUACUCAUACGAGGGUAUUUUCAGAAUAUUACAAGUUUUGGGGCCAAACCUUCAAUUUAUUUUUGUACUCACUCCUGUUUUUUUUUGUUUGUUUGUUUUUUUUGAUAAAAGAAAACUUUACUCCGUGAAAGUGAAAGUCAGUUCACUCAGUGAAAAUGAAUGACUUUUUUGUGUGUGUGUGUGUGUGUGCGUGUGUGUGUGUUUGUGUGUGUGUGAGACCCUAACACUGUCAUGUCUUUUGUGGUCACUUGCCAGCUAUAAUAAACAUAAUUUACAUAUAAGUACAUCAAGUUUUUUUUGUUUUUUUUCAUAGCAUCCUCAAAAAAAGAAUGUGCUUUUGUCAGAACUAUGGCCGUCGAAAAUGCGUUGCAAGUCAUACAGUGAGGUGAC